UCAAUAUCUGCUGUCGAGAAGCUGUGGGUCUCAGCAAACAGGGGACAUCGGGGAGCAGCGGGGGUGGUCCUCCCCAAGGGCCCGGCUCCCUGGCUCACCACCGCUUUUCACGGCUGGCUUUAGAAAUCACUGUUCCCACGGCAGGUUUUUCUGCUUCCCAACCAGUUCUUGGUUGUGUUCGGUUUGGUGGAGUUUGCUGAAAAGGGUCAUGGCUCGUUUCUGAUAUGGGAAGCAUCACCCUUCUGAAAGGAAGACAGUUCAUGAAAAUAGCACUUCCCUGACAAGGUGGCAGGGCUUCCCAGGUGGCUCAGUGAUAAAGAAUCUAUCAAAGCAGGAGACACAGGUUCG
Long non-coding RNA from Cervus elaphus (red deer), 348 nucleotides. RefSeq lists it as uncharacterized. Lineage: Eukaryota; Metazoa; Chordata; Mammalia; Artiodactyla; Cervidae. The record is from RefSeq and is a predicted model, not a curated record. The transcript has 3 exons.